Molecule: ribosomal RNA, 253 nt
Filed under: uncultured bacterium
Lineage: Bacteria
Description: partial 16S ribosomal RNA
Rfam family: Bacterial small subunit ribosomal RNA
Source: RNAcentral
UACGGAGGGUGCAAGCGUUAAUCGGAAUUAUUGGGCGUAAAGCGCACGCAGGCGGUGUGUCAAGUCCGAUGUGAAAUCCCCCGGCUCAACUUGGGAACUGCAUCUGAUACUGGCAAGCUUGAGUCUCGUAGGGGGGGGUAGAAUUCCAGGUGUAGCGGUGAAAUGCGUAGAGAUCUGGAGGAAUACCGGUGGCGAAGGCGGCCCCCUGGACGAAGACUGACGCUCAGGUGCGAAAGCGAGGGGAGCAAACAGG